AAGAACAACUCAGCAUCUCCAACAGAAUUUGCUCAAUUCUGAACAGCAAGAAAACUUCACCAAAUCCACUUUGGAGGAUAUUUACAUCUUGUCGCAGUAUUUAUUUACUGAACUUGAACUUAUUUCUACUUCAACUUUUAUGUUAGGAUUGAUUUUUGUGGAUUCGAGCAUUAAAAUUGGGGUGGUGGUUAAUUCAGAUGGUUGAACUAAUUGUACUUUAUUAAAUUGAAUUAUUAAUUAGAUUAAUUUAUGAAAGAUUUGAUCCAAAUCCGAAAAUUAACCUUAAAUAUUUGUUUUAGGUUAUGUAUAGCAAUUCUGAUCCUCUUAAUGUGAUGAUAUGAGAUAAAUAACGAGGUUGAGAUUAAAUAAAGUUGCUUAUAAAGGCUAGAAUCGCCUAAUUGUAUCAAAAUCAUAAUUUAAAUAGAAAUCAAAGAAACUUUUAGAAAAGAAAAUCAUCACGAGCAACAUUUUUAAAUCUACCAAAAAAUGAUAAAAUCUAAACUCAUGGGCAUUGGAGUGGUGGUUAAUUCAAAUGGUUGAAAUAAUUCAGGUUAUGUAUAGCAAUUCUGAUCCUUUUAAUGUCUUGAUACGAGAUAAAUAACAAAGUUGAGAUUAAAUAAAGUUACUUAUAAAGGCUAGAAUCGCCUAAUUGUAUCAAAAUCAUAAUAUGAAUACAAAUUAAAGAAAGUUUUAAACAAGAAAAUCAUCACGAGCAACAUUUUUAAAUCUACAAAAAAUGAUAAAAUCUAAACUCAUGGGCAUUGGAGUGGUGGUUAAUUCAAAUGGUUAAAAUAAUUCAGGUUAUGUAUAGCAAAUCUGAACCUCUUAAUGUCUUGAUAUGAGAUAAAUAAUGAGGUUGAGAUUAAAUAAAGUUACUUAUAAAGAUUAGAAUCGCCUAAUUGUAUCAAAAUCAUAAUUUGAAUAGAAAUCAAAGAAAGUUUUAGGAAAGAAAAUCAUCACGAGCAACAUUUUUAAAUCUACAAAAAAUGAUAAAAUCUAAAGUCAUCAGCAUUGAAGUGGUGGUUAAUUCAGGUUAUGUAUAGCAUUUCUGAUCCUUUUAAUGCCUUGAUAUGCGAUAAAUAAUGAGGUUGAGAUUAAAUAAAGGCUAGAAUCGCCUAAUUUUUAACACAAUCAACAUUUUUAAAUCUACAAAAAAUGAUAAAAUCUAAAGGAUAUGGAAAUCUUCGUUAAAGUUAUAUCUAAAUCAAGUCUUUUAAGAUAGAAUUAAUAAAGUUAUUAGUUAUUAUUAGUUGUUGUAAAGCUGUGUAUUCCAAUCCCAAAGAGUUGAAACGGAAAUAUCAAUAUAUUUAUUAUCUUUAUUUUAUUAUCAUUUUAAUACUAUGAUUUUAGGCAACACUCCUUACGCAUUACAAGGCUAAACAUGGCAAGAAAUUGCACAAUUUUCCAAGAACCACAUUUAAGCGACAAUAAUAAAUUUUUUGCAUUAGCACUAAUAGAAAAUCUCUACAUAAUUCUCUGUAUAUACUUUGUUUUAGAGAAAUUAAAGGUUUAUUAAUAUUUUUUUUAGAAAUAUCCCGUUUCUACAAAGUUUUAAUAAACCACCUCGACAUGAUUACUCUAAAAAAAUUGCUUCAUAGUCUUCAUUAGAAAGUCAUGUACAUACAUACAUAUAACGUUACAGACCGCAGAUUCUGUACUCAGCCUUGAACCAAAAAAUUUCUUAAUCAAGCUACUAAAUAAAAAUAAAGUAAAAAGUUAUUAUUAUUUCAUUUUGUUCUAAGAACAAAAAAAACCUUGUGUUCAUAUUUACAAGGAGGUCAUUCACUUACACAAGAAGUGACAAGAAGCUUUAGGAAAUUUUAAAACCACCACGUUUAAUAAGAUUAUUUUUACAAAUAAUUCCUUUUCACUGGAAACUUUUGGAAUUUCACUUUUUAUUGCUAAUCAGAACUUAAAAUUGUUGGAAAUCGAGGCAAUAAAUCGUUUGAGAAUGUG
This 1956-nucleotide long non-coding RNA is filed under the name Onthophagus taurus. RNAcentral's name for it is "uncharacterized LOC111420449". Lineage: Eukaryota; Metazoa; Arthropoda; Insecta; Coleoptera; Scarabaeidae. The record is from RNAcentral.